RNAcentral lists this ribosomal RNA (468 nucleotides) under uncultured bacterium. RNAcentral describes it as "partial 16S ribosomal RNA". It matches the Rfam family "Bacterial small subunit ribosomal RNA", at positions 28 to 507 of the family's 1533-position model. The record is from RNAcentral.
GACGAACGCUGGCGGCGUGCUUAACACAUGCAAGUCGAACGGAAAGGCCCUGCUUUUGUGGGGUGCUCGAGUGGCGAACGGGUGAGUAACACGUGAGUAACCUGCUCUUGACUUUGGGAUAACUUCAGGAAACUGGGGCUAAUACCGGAUAGGAGCUCCUGCUGCAUGGUGGGGGUUGGAAAGUUUCGGCGGUUGGGGAUGGACUCGCGGCUUAUCAGCUUGUUGGUGGGGUAGUGGCUUACCAAGGCUUUGACGGGUAGCCGGCCUGAGAGGGUGACCGGCCACAUUGGGACUGAGAUACGGCCCGGACUCCUACGGGAGGCAGCAGUGGGGAAUAUUGCACAAUGGGCGGAAGCCUGAUGCAGCAACGCCGCGUGCGGGAUGACGGCCUUCGGGUUGUAAACCGCUUUCGCCUGUGACGAAGCGUGAGUGACGGUAAUGGGUAAAGAAGCACCGGCUAACUACGUG